UAUUUUUUAAACGAAGAUCUUUUUUACUUGAAGAAACUUAAGGAUUUGGGCAUCCUAGGAUGUGCUGUGAGAUCGAAAGCAGUAGAAUUUUUGCCAUAGAUCAGAAGAGAGACGGUCACCCAGUGCUGCGGAAGCCCCUAGGUAGCUGAGAAGUUGAUGGAAUCUUCUUACUGGUGCAACUUUCACUAUUGCUUGUUGUUCGAGUGUGAGAUAAAGGUGAGCAGAAAAUUCUCGAGUGCACUGUUUACCUACAGCACACUGCGACUCGACUUCUGAAAGUUGAGAGAAACAGGUUUGCACAAUUGUUGUGUGUGACAUAGAAAAGACAUGUCAUCUGAUAACAGGAACAUAGCUUUUAUGCUAAUAAAAUGCUUUUAAAAUUA
Neogale vison (American mink) is the source of this 383-nucleotide long non-coding RNA. RefSeq lists it as uncharacterized. The record is from RefSeq and is a predicted model, not a curated record. Lineage: Eukaryota; Metazoa; Chordata; Mammalia; Carnivora; Mustelidae. The transcript is spliced from 2 exons.